This 82-nucleotide transfer RNA is filed under the name Clavispora lusitaniae. RNAcentral describes it as "tRNA-Leu". It matches the Rfam family "tRNA". From Rfam's summary of the family: Transfer RNA (tRNA) molecules are approximately 80 nucleotides in length. Their secondary structure includes four short double-helical elements and three loops (D, anti-codon, and T loops). Further hydrogen bonds mediate the characteristic L-shaped molecular structure. tRNAs have two regions of fundamental functional importance: the anti-codon, which is responsible for specific mRNA codon recognition, and the 3' end, to which the tRNAs corresponding amino acid is attached (by aminoacyl-tRNA synthetases). tRNAs cope with the degeneracy of the genetic code in two manners: having more than one tRNA (with a specific anti-codon) for a particular amino acid; and 'wobble' base-pairing, i.e. permitting non-standard base-pairing at the 3rd anti-codon position. RNAcentral also lists the same sequence under 1 other name. Lineage: Eukaryota; Fungi; Ascomycota; Pichiomycetes; Serinales; Metschnikowiaceae. The record is from RNAcentral.
GAUGUGGUGGCCGAGUGGUUAAGGCGUGAGGUGCAGGUCCUCAUGAGCUCUGCUCUCGCAGGUUCGAAUCCUGUCCACGUCG